Long non-coding RNA from Triticum aestivum (bread wheat), 831 nucleotides. RefSeq lists it as uncharacterized. Lineage: Eukaryota; Viridiplantae; Streptophyta; Magnoliopsida; Poales; Poaceae. The record is from RefSeq and is a predicted model, not a curated record. The transcript is spliced from 3 exons.
UCCAUCCACCCCCCGCCUCCUUUCUUUCUUUCUUUCUCUCCCUCCCACGCCCUCCUCUCGCGACCCCGAUCCCGAUCCAGAUCACGAUCCCAACCCCGCCGCCAACGAUAUCCUCCUCCCCCCCAGCGCCGCCGACCCCACCUUCAAUUCCUCUCCCAAGGGAAGGGAAGGGAAGGCCAGCCGGGGAGAUCGUUCGCGCGCCCAUAUCCACGCCACCGUCGUCGACCUGAUCCGCGUCCGUCCUCGAGGGAGGUCGGCCAUGGUGGUCCGCGCUCGUCCCACCUUCCACCCUGUUCCUUCCAUUCGCGGUCCACGCCACCGCGGGAGUCAGGGAGCGUCGUGCCCUGCCCGCCGCGCAUGACCAACCGUCGCCGCCGGAGAAUCUCCAACCUAAGAAGCUGCAAUGACGGAGAUCACACGCUCCUUCGACCAGGCGCGGCCAGCCUCCAUCUCCGGCCACUUUGGCCUCGCCCCCGACCUUGCUCGUUGCUCCUUCGACCACACGCUCCGCCGCGAGGUGAAUGGAGCUUGUGUUGUUGGUAGAACAUCAUUGAUGACUUCUUCCUAUGUUGAAGAGCAUGUUCCGUGGUAUCCAAGAGUAGCUAGCUUUAACUUGGCAGAGCAUUUUAUUUUUCAAUCGCAAUAUUUGUGAUUGUCUGGAAUAUUGUAUGGUUAUGUACGUGAAGUUUUAAGUUCCUGGGCAUGCAAUAUUUGUAGUUUAAACUGGUUGUUGUGAUGUGAACGAAUGUAUGGAGUUUCACAUGUUCUAUUCUGUACAUAAUAUAUUGUAAUAAACCUAUUUUGGUUGUUAUUCGAAGAUUUUCAUAUUCU